UGGGGAAUUUUGGACAAUGGGGGCAACCCUGAUCCAGCAAUGCCGCGUGUGUGACGAAGGCCUUCGGGUUGUAAAGCACUUUUGGUGGGAACGAAACGGCGCCGGCUAAUACCUGGCGCUAAUGACGGUACCCGCAGAAUAAGCACCGGCUAACUACGUGCCAGCAGCCGCGGUAAUACGUAGGGUGCGAGCGUUAAUCGGAAUUACUGGGCGUAAAGCGUGCGCAGGCGGUUUUGCAAGACAGAUGUGAAAUCCCCGGGCUCAACCUGGGAACUGCAUUUGUGACUGCAAGGCUAGAGUGUGUCAGAGGGAGGUGGAAUUCCGCGUGUAGCAGUGAAAUGCGUAGAGAUGCGGAGGAACACCGAUGGCGAAGGCAGCCUCCUGGGAUAACACUGACGCUCAUGCACGAAAGCGUGGGGAGCAAACAGG
Molecule: ribosomal RNA, 429 nt
Filed under: uncultured bacterium
Lineage: Bacteria
Description: bacterial SSU rRNA
Rfam family: Bacterial small subunit ribosomal RNA
Source: RNAcentral